This 119-nucleotide ribosomal RNA is filed under the name Pteropus alecto (black flying fox). Lineage: Eukaryota; Metazoa; Chordata; Mammalia; Chiroptera; Pteropodidae. The record is from RNAcentral.
GUCCACUGCCAAGCCACCCUGAACAUGCCUGAUCUCGUCUGAUCUCAGAAGCUAAGCAGGGUCGGGCCCCGUUAGUACUUGGAUGGGAGACUACCUAGAAAGACAGGGUACUAUAGGCG